RNAcentral lists this ribosomal RNA (423 nucleotides) under uncultured Chroococcales cyanobacterium. RNAcentral describes it as "bacterial SSU rRNA". It matches the Rfam family "Bacterial small subunit ribosomal RNA", at positions 355 to 794 of the family's 1533-position model. Lineage: Bacteria; Bacillati; Cyanobacteriota; Cyanophyceae; Chroococcales. The record is from RNAcentral.
UGGGGAAUUUUCCGCAAUGGGCGAAAGCCUGACGGAGCAAUACCGCGUGAGGGAGGAAGGCUCUUGGGUUGUAAACCUCAAAACUUAGGGAAGAAAAAAAUGACGGUACCUAAUGUAAACAUCGGCUAACUCCGUGCCAGCAGCCGCGGUAAUACGGAGGAUGCAAGCGUUAUCCGGAAUCAUUGGGCGUAAAGAGUCCGUAGGUGGCACUUCAAGUCUGCUUUCAAAGACCGAAGCUCAACUUCGGAAAGGGAGUGGAAACUGAAGAGCUAGAGUAUAGUAGGGGUAGAGGGAAUUCCUAGUGUAGCGGUGAAAUGCGUAGAGAUUAGGAAGAACACCAGUGGCGAAGGCGCUCUACUGGGCAUAUACUGACACUGAGGGACGAAAGCUAGGGGAGCGAAAGGGAUUAGAUACCCCUGUAGU